ACAAGUAACGUGAGGGAAAGAUGCAAAGAACUUUGAAAAGAGAGUUAAAGAGUACCUGAAAUUGCUGAAAGGGAAGCGAAGGAAACCAGUGCUUGGCUUGGUCAUAUUUCUCGAAUCGCUUGCGGUUUGGGCGCUGUGUCGUUGCCUUUGUCAUUUUUGCUUGUUCUCGGCGGAAACGUGUGUUCGGGAGGUAGCGCUUGCGUGAUACCGUUCACAUUAUUGCUGGGUUUGAGUGAGGCUGACGAAAUGGUUUUCUUUACCCCGUCUAGUAACACGGACCAAGGAGUCUAACAUCUGUGCGAGUGUUUGGGUGUAAAACCCAUGCGCGUAAUGAAAGUGAACGGAGGUGGGAACCUUUACCGGUGCACCAUCGACCG
Molecule: ribosomal RNA, 377 nt
Filed under: Asterionellopsis glacialis
Lineage: Eukaryota; Bacillariophyta; Plagiogrammaphyceae; Rhaphoneidales; Asterionellopsidaceae
Description: partial Eukaryotic large subunit ribosomal RNA
Rfam family: Eukaryotic large subunit ribosomal RNA
Source: RNAcentral